RNAcentral lists this long non-coding RNA (8827 nucleotides) under Phaseolus vulgaris (common bean). RNAcentral describes it as "long non-coding RNA (PVUL_LNC003239)". Lineage: Eukaryota; Viridiplantae; Streptophyta; Magnoliopsida; Fabales; Fabaceae. The record is from RNAcentral.
GAAAGUUCUCAUGUUGACUUGUUGACAGUUUUGCUGAGAGAAGGGAAGGGAAAAGGAGAAGCACACGAUGAUAUAUUUCUAAGAGAUGCUGUGUUCAAUCUUUUUGUGGCUGGGAGAGAUACCAUAACUUCAGCUCUCACCUGGUUCUUUUGGCUUGUUGCUACAAACCCUUUGGUGGAGGCCAAGAUUCUUGAAGAGAUGAAGGAAAAGUUUGGAAGAAAUGAAAAGAAAGCAGAGGUUUUAAGUGUGGAAGAAGUGAAAAAACUGGUUUAUCUGCAUGGUGCUAUAUGUGAAUCACUGAGGCUGUUUCCUCCCAUACCCUUUGAACGCAAGGAAGCACUUAAAUCAGACGUGCUUCCUAGUGGUCAUGGUGUUAAUCCAAGCACAGUUAUAUUGUUUUGCUUGUAUUCAAUGGGAAGAUUUGAGGAAAUAUGGGGAGAAGAUUGCAUGGAGUUCAAGCCAGAGAGAUGGAUUUCACAGAAAGGAGGUAAUGUUUAUGUACCAUCUUACAAAUUCAUUGCUUUUAAUGCAGGACCAAGGACUUGUUUGGGCAAAGAUGUCUCCUUCAUUCAGAUGAAGAUGGUGGCAACUGCAAUUUUGCACAAGUAUCGUCUCCAAGUGGUGGAAGGUUAUGUUGCUAAGCCAAACCUUUCAAUCGUUCUUCUGAUGAAGGAUGGGUUAAAGGUUAAGAUAAAGAAAAGAGAAAUUUAGUUUGAUGUAUGUGGGAAUUCAAAUCUCAAACAGAAAAAAGUGCAAAAGAUAUAAAAUAAAGUGUCAUAUGUAUGUGAAAUGAAGCUAAUAAUGAUGGUGUAUAAGAUGCCUUUGGUUUGAUGAAUGCAUUUGGCUUAUUGCAGUAAGUUUCGAGGUUUGUCUUCUGGGCAAUGUUUUUAAAAUAUUAUAGAAAUGAGUUUUUUUUAGAAAAUUUACUUAUACGAAUAAGUAGUACACAUACCACAUCAUUUUAUUGUUGCAGUAGAAGUCAUGUUUAAUCCAUGUAACAUAAGUUUGACUAAUAUUAAUUGAGAUUUAUUUUUAUAUUCUUAAUGAGGGGUGUCGUAUUAGAAUGACUUUAAAGUUAUAUCUAAUUAAAGUUGGAUAGGUAUGUUUACCUGAAAUUAUGUUUGUUUCCUAUGAUUUAAUUAUUUAGUUAUUAAAUUUGUUUAAAUUAAAUAGAAAUUAAGACUAAAUUUAAAUAAAUUAAGUAAUAUUUGAUUAUACUCUGAAAAAUUAUUGGAUGAUUUAAUAAAAAAUAAACAAUGCACUAGUCUUAAAUAAAUAAAUAAAUGGCAUUUAACAUUUUAUUGUUUGAUAUUUUAGCAUUAUAAGUUUUUUUACGUGAAAAUAUUAAUUAUUAAAUUCAAAAUUAAUAUUGUGCAAUUGAGAAAUAAAUAAGAGUAGUUGGUAGGGUUUUAGAGAUCGAUUAUAAAAAAAAAAUAUUAAAAAUAUAGAAAUUAGUAAUUAAAUGUGGGAAAAUUGAAAAAAUUGAAGGUAGAAAUUUGACCAUAAAAUAAAGAAGAAACAGGGAAAGUUAAUAAUUGAAAUUGUAAUAUGAAUAUUGUUAUAUUACAUAAAAUAAUUUAUCUAUGAAAGGAUGUGCGACAAUGUGAUUUUUUUUGUUUGUCUUCUAGGCCUCCAUGGAUGGUGACGGUUGGAAGAUGGUGAAUGUGGAUCAAUAUUGAUGCCUUUGUUGUCAUUAUUAUUACCUUCAUUAUGAGGUCCUUAGGAGGAUAUGAUGGGACAACAAUAAUACAUGAAUAAUGUCAUAUUGUAUAUAGUUGUAUGAGUGAAUGUUGAAUUUUCAAACAUAUUUGGUUAAUCCCAAAAAAGAUCCUGUAGACUAGGAAAAUCAUUAUAUGGGUAGAGAACCUGUUGUCGUGGAGAAUGAACUACAAGUAGCAAUGCUGAUCCAUGUAUGUAGACAUUGAUAAUUGUUGAAGAUCGGACAAAUUGGACUAACCAACAUGAAACUGUUGACUACAAAAAGAAGAACCCAACAUGCUGAUAAGGAGGGUUGUGGUUGACAAUAGUACAAAACAAUACAUUAACGAUGGUUAAAAAGGUCAUAUAAAGACGGUUCGAGAAUAGUCGUUAUUGCGGGUAUCGUUAUAAAUCAACUGUUUAUAAUAACCCUCGUUAUAAAACAACAUUAACGACACGUGUAAAAAACUGUCAUUAUUCUACCAAAUAAAGGAAAAAUAAAAAAUAUAUUUAUAACGAGAGUUCGGGCCUAGAACCAUCAUUAUAACCCCAAAAAUGGAAUUUUAAGGACGGUUAUGUCAUUAUAAGUAAUUUAAAAAAAAUAAUAUUAUAUAUAUAUAUAUAUAUCCUAAUCUUGCAUAAAAUACCAGAUAAAUGUAAUAUAAUUAUAAUGGUUUGAUAAAUCUCUAAUUUAUACCAGAAAACAUCAUGCAAAAUUUCAGAAUUUUCUGACAAGUGUAAGUACGAGAACUAAAACCUCGAAAUACCUGAAAAAUACCCAAAUAAUACUUAAAAAUAAAAAAAUAAUAGUAAACAAUGGAUUUUUGGAAUUUUGGUGGAUCCCAAUAGUCCUCGGGGAUUGGCCAUGUGAUUUGUUACCUUGUUUCGACAAACUUUCAUUUUUUACGUGUCUCUAUCCGUCUUUUCUAUCAAAAGUUAUGGUCGUGUGAAGUUUCUUCAUGCUAAUUUUUGCCAACUCCAAAUCUAUCACUUUUCUCUUCAAUGUCAGGACUCUUCCAUCAAAUAUCCACUAAAUGAAGUUCCCACAAACCCUAAACUAUUAACUAAUCAAAACAUACAUUCAAAUAUUUAUAAAAAUUUAAAACCCAAAACCCUAAAAAUACUAACAUUUUGGAGCCAAGUCUGCGGUGGCAGUGUGUGGUGGAGAUGUUGGCGGUGUGCAGAAGGUGUUGCCGAUGUGCGAAGGUGAAGAGUUGGCGCGCGGAGGCGAAGGAAACUGUUUGCUUGUGCGUGCAGAGGAGAAAAAAAGAUGCUUGGCAUGUUGGGGAACUUCGAUGGUUGGCGCAUUUUGCGCUGACUUGUGUUGUGCGGUGUAAGGUUUGGACGACUGGACAAGGCGUGGAGAUAUGAGGAUGGAGUUGGAGGACGACGCACAACUUUUAGUGUAUUGGAGCAGAUGACGAGAAUGGGAGAAGAAGAAUGAAUGGAGGAGGGGCCAAAUCUUUGAGUGUAUUGGAGAGUGAGAGGCGAGAAUGGAGAAUGGAGGAGGGUGCAGAGAUUUGAUUGAAGGCGCAAAUGGGAGAAAAUGAGUGAAUGAGUGUGCGUGGGAUAGGUUUAUUUUUCGUUUUUUAACGAUAGUUAAGUGCUAAACCGUCGCAGUUUGGAUGCAGAACCCAUUUUUAACGAUGGUUCAGAAAAGAACCGUCGUAGUUUUCACAUAGGACCAUUUUUAACAAUGGUUCAAAAAGAAACCGUCGUUAUUUUGCAAUGAAAUGUUGAGUUAAUAACAAAAAUGCCACCGUGCUUUUUCCAACGACGGGUUUCUGCCAACUGUCGUUAUUCAGUGUGGUUUUAAAGAUUUGUUGUACUAGUUUGAGGUUGGUUAAACCUUAUGGUGUGUCGUACUGUUGAAAAAUAAUGUCAAAUUUUAGAUAUUACAUGAGGAAAAGUUAAAUGUAGUUAACUUAUAUUGUCGUCAGAUGUCAGUUCCAAAGGUGAUAUGUACCAAAUAAUAUGGUUAAUGUAUUAUUACAUGUAUAUUAUCGUGUCACGUAAAUGACCAUUACUGCUGAACUAAAUACCUUCAAUGAGAUGAUUGUGUUGAUCAAUCCACAUUACUAUCCACCUUUGAUGGUACCUCCAAUUUUUGUUUGUUUUAUUUCUCAUAUCUUCUUUGUACAAUUGAUAUAAGUUUAAUGGGUUUAAUGGAAUAUCUUGUUAAAACCUAAAUUGUCAUAUCACUCAAUUAACUUGAUGAAAUCCAAAGGUGGCAAAACAUAUCAAAUGAACUACUUCCCUAUUAACAGGAUAAACCUCAACAAAUUAUUAAGGGAGCGAUGUCGUCUCUGUUGUAAGGAGUCCACAAGAAUUGCUAAAAUUGUCAUUAAAUGUCAAGAUUUGAUGUAGGUCUGUUAAACCAGUUUUGGCUUUAACUAAUCUAACUUCUUCCUUAUUAAACUCACUAAACUCGUAGGAGGGUGUUGUAUCAAUGACAAUACACGAAACCACCUUGUAUAAAUAAUAAAUGUAUUAGAAAGAACAAAAAUGUUAAGAAUGAUUCAAAGUUUUAUUUGGAAAAGUAAUAGUGUAUAUAAAAAUUUACCUUUUUCGAGAGGAAUCAAGUCCUGAAACAAUGUCUUCUGCCAUUAAUGACUUAAUUGAUGGGAAAAGACAUUUAUUUCAUCCUCACCAACAUUGUAAUAACAACAUGCAACAUCCUAAAUUUUCUGGGUUGAAAUCAAUUCCAUAAUCUAAAGUACGAUACACAAGUCAAGACAACUUAAUCAAUAUAAUAUCUAAUUAUUUUUUUUAUCUCUAAAAUUAGUUUUUAUUUAAUAAUUUUAUUGUAUUACGAAGUAUUUGACAUAAGUGUACUAUCCAUAAGUAAAAGAAUGCAUGCUCAUUCGUUUUAAGGGAUCACAUCGUUGAUUUCAUGAAUAAGAAGUUUGUAAAAGUUGAUCUUGAAUCAAACUAAUUUAAUUUUGUUUUAGUAACAUUUGUGAGAGAUAUGAAUCCCAACAAUUAUUGGUAUAGGGAACCAAAGUCAACAAAAAAUAGUCUUUCUUCACGUGAAGAACCAUCCAAAUUGACACUCACCUAAUAUGUGCACGCUACCAUUUAUUGAUACUUGUUCUUGAUGUGAAUUAAGGGUCACAUUACAUCCAUUACUACUAUGUACUUAAACCUCCCUCAACUUAAGGACAAUAAAUCCCCCAUUUACGUCAUUACAUUUGCUACUCAAUGAAAUAUAAUCAACUUAUAAUAUGGAUGUUAGCUAGCCAUUUUUAAUUUUAUUAGAUGAUUUAACUUAGAUUAAACAACUUGUUAAUACAAUUCUAUUCACUUGUUCGAAAGUUUAUUUAUAACAAUUUGUUAAAGAAUUCAAGUUUAAUAUACUAUAUCAAUAUCAUAUAAAGGAUUUUUACAUUAUGAACUAAUUAUCAAUUAUUUUAAAUAUAAUUUUUUACUUAAUCAUUACAAAAUUUAAUAAUAUAUGUGAUAAUAUUUUUUUUUUCAGAAAGAUUAUUUAAACUAACUAACAAAAUUGCAUUAUUUAACUAAAUUUGAUGUUUUCAAAUGAAAUUUCAUAUUUAAAUUUUAUUGAUACUUCUCAAGAGAUACAUAUUAUAAAUUUCACUCUUAAAAUUCAUUAAAUUAAUCCUUAAAACUUAAAAUUAGGACAUAAUAAAAUAAUUAAAUCAAAGUAAUAUAUUUUUACAAAAACUAUGGGUUUUUACAUAAAAAUUAAAUAUCAAUCCAAUUAAAGCUUAUGUGAUACAAAGGGUCAUUAAAUAUCGGUAGAUAACUAUGAUCUUAAUUAUAGAAGAAAUUUGGAACUACAAAAACAAAAGCAUUUUUAAGAAUUACAAAAUUAAUCACAUUGAAAUGUUUACAAUGAUACAACUAAAUGUACGGUCUUGGGUUAUGUCUAAGGUAAAAACUUUAAGUUUCUCUUAUUUUGGGUUAUGUCUAAGGUAAAAACUUUAAGUUUCUCUUAUUUAGAUUGCUGUCUGGAUACUUUCAUAUGUAUGAAAUUAAUAAGAAAUUGUGAUAAUUAAUCAAAUUUAUUCAGAGUGAACUCAAUUCUUUUACAUGUAUGGUUACAUCUUAAAUAUUUUCUUAAAAAUCCAAUUAAGUGGAAAUAAGUGUCUGACCUGGAUAAGUUUCUCAAUUUUAUCUUUCAACGCUUGACACUCCUUAGUGGUAUGUCCACUGUUUCUAUGGUACCAACACCUACGAGUACGAUCGGCAUUCUCAAGGCUCGUGACCUUCCUAGGUGGUGGAAUCAACUCGGCGCUUAGGGCCUCUUCUAGGAUCCUCCGCCUAUUGACACUCAAGGGGGUAUAUGUCAUGAACCGACUCCCUCAGUUGUCUCUACACCUAUCCCCCCGACCAAAAGUUGGUUGGUUUUGACGCUAUUUCUCGUCCUUCCCCUUGUCUCCACUGGCCUCCGCUCAGGCCUGAUUUCUAAACUCUCUCAACUCCUCCGGUUGCAUAAACUUGGGGCUCUCCGUCUAAGCUCGUCCAAACUUGCAGCCGACUGCAUGCACAAGCUGUCAGCAAAUGGUUCCGACCGCAGGGCCAUCAACAUGAGAUGCAUUGCUCCAUCCGAGCUUAGGUUCCGGAUGCUCAUGACCACUUUACCAAACCUGUCUACAAACUUCCUCAGCGAUUCCUUCUUCUCCUGGCAGAUGCUGACCAGGACGAUGGAGGUCAGAUGAUGUGGUCGGCUGGUGGCAAAUUGUGUCCCGAACUUGGACACCAGUGCCUCAAAGCAGUCAACGGAGUUUGGGGGGAGCUUUGUAAACUAACUUAAAGCCCCUCCUUUGAGUGAUGUGGGGAAUACUCGGCAUAGGACUACGUCGUCCGAAGUAUACAAGCUCAUGUUCGUGGUGUACGCGUCCAUGUGCUCGUCCGGGUCGGUCAUGCCGUCAUAACAAUCCCUAUUGAAGCCUUUCCACUUGUCCGAUAGUUGUACUCCGGUUAUGGAGUCGGUAAAAGGGUGUCGGUGGACCGAUUCCAGAGUACCAGUCGUGGGGGUCGACCUGUUCAGAUUAGACUCGUCGUCAACCUCUUGGGUGUGAACUUUGUCCUUCGGCUCCUCAAUAGUCUUGGGGUUGGUGGGGGUGGUGAAGGACCUCCUAACAAGAUUGGUUGGUCCAGCGGACGGUCCCCCCUCCACAAACUUCCUUUUAAUCUCUUCAUUCUCCUUCCGGAGAGCCAGGAUUUCAUCCUCAUUCUUUCGAGUGAUCUUCUCAUUUCUUCUCUUCAUCUCAUCCAUCUCUCUUUGCAGAGACAUCAACAAUGCCAUAUUCUCAAUUUCAGACAUCCUUUCACUAGCCAUGCUUCGGGUUGAUACCAUCUACUUUUUUCUUCGCUCUAAUUCUCUGGGCCCCACGGUGGGCGUCAAUUGUUCUCAAUUGGGGUUGGGGCCUAGAGAACAAUUCAAGCUGCUCCUCUACCUCCUUGAUCGGUCGGUUUGCACUUCUGUUCCUCUCCAAGCAAGCUCCUUACUUUUCUCUUCUCACCCUACUCCUCGAUCUUCACGUAGUUCAGACUUGGAUGGUACCUGCAGAAGGCACUCUAAUGCUCAAGUCAGAUUUAGUAUUUGGCACUUGGUAUUCUGAGUAUUGUGUAAUGACGAACCUGAAUAUUAGAAUCUGUGUUAUUUAUAUUAUUUUGGUGGACCUUUCUUAUUGGGUCAGGUUAGAAAGUUAGGUCGUGUUUAGAAAUGUAUUACCUAACUCUUGAAUGCUGAUUAGCCUCACUAAUUCUGCUUAGACGUAAUUAACUUUGUGAUGUUGAUCGGUAUAAUAACGGGUACCCAGUCAUAGGCCGUUGGCCCUACUAGUACAUUAAAGAUGUAGCUGUUUCAGAUCUUGUGAAAUAAAGAAGACGUGCACCUCUAUCUACCUUCAUCCCAACAAUUUCUUCAAUUUCUGACCUAACUAGUCAACAUCAUCUUUUCCAACUUCGUACAAUGUUCGUCGUUUCUUCUAUAUUUGCCCAAAACAUUAAUAUACACUUUUCACGUGAACAUAAAUCAACAUCUAACCCUUUAUAAGAGCAUAAUAUCCAUGCAAGUGCCACACACAUCCUCAAGAAACAACCUAAGAAACAAAGGUUUUUGUGUUGUUCAUCAAUUUACUAUGGCACUAUUGCUUGGCCAUGCCGCAGCAACAGUUGCAGCACUCUUCUGCAUCAUCUAUUUCUUCCAUCGGAGACUAUCUUGCAGAUACCCUCUCCUCACUGACUACCCCAUCCUUGGAAUGCUACCAGAGGUACUCUGCAAUCUGUGGCGCAUCCAUGAUUUUGCCACUGAGGUAUUGAAACAGAAGGGGGGAACUGGUGACUUCACUGGACCAUGGUUUACCAACAUGAACUAUUUGUUCACGAGUGACCCCCUAAACGUGCGCCACGUCAUGAGCACGAGUUUCCACAACUACGUGAAGGGACCCGUGUUUCGUGACAUUUUUGAAGCCUUCGGAGAAGGGCUUGCAGCCGCUGAUUCAGAAGCAUGGAAAUACAACAGGGAUCUCAUUCAUUAUCUCUUAAAACAGAAAAAUUUCGAGGGGUUUCUAGAGAAAACCGUUCACAAGAAGGUCCAGAGUAGCCUACUUCCCGUAUUGGAUCAUGUACACCAACAAGGGAGUGUGGUGGAUCUUCAAGACCUCUUCAACCGCUUCACUUUUGAUAACAUAUGUUAUAUAGUUCUUGGCCAUGACCCUAAUUGCCUUUCCGUGGAUUUUCCCGAAGUUGAAAUUGAGAAGGCUUUUAAUGAAGCGGGAGAGACCAUUUUUCACAGACAUGUAGUGCCAAAGUGUGUUUGGAAGCUGCAGAAAUGGCUUCAUAUUGGGCAAGAGAAGAAGAUGACAGAAGCGUGUAAGACGCUUGAUGAGUUCAUAUAUGCAUGCAUAGCGUCCAAGAGAAAAAAUCUUAGCAAGUGCAUAGAAAAAAAUGAAACGGAAGAAACUUCUGAUGUUGACUUGUUGACAACUUUGAUGAGAGAAGGGAAGGAAAAAGGAGAAGAAUAUGAUGAUAUAUUUCUGAGAGAUACUGUGUUCAAUUUUUUUGUGGCUGGGAGAGAUGCCGUAACUUCAGCUCUCACGUGGUUCUUUUGGCUUGUUGCUACAAACCCUUUGGUGGAAGCCAAGAUUCUUGAAGAGAU